ACAAGUAGUGUGAACGAAAGAUGAAAAGAACUCUAAAACAGAGGGUGAAAAGUUCCUGAACUUGCUUAGGGUUAAGGCUAUUUAUAGUACCCGGUCUUGAAACACGGAUUAGGGAGUUUAUCUGUAGUGCGAGUCUUUGCACGUUAACUGUAAAGGCGUAGAGAAAGCAACUGGCGUUUGCAUGGCUACUGAGCAUUACUGAUAGGACCCGAAAGGUGGUGAACUUUGCCUGCACAGGUUGAAGUCAGGGGAAACUCUGAUGGAGGACCGUACGGGUUAUUGAUGUGCAAAUCAUUUUUCUGAUGUAGGUAAAGGUGCGAAAGACUCAUCGAACCACCUAAUAGCUGGUUUCCUCCGAAGUUUCCCUCAGGAUAGCUGUAAUGCAUUUAGUUAAGGGGAGUAGAGAUAUGGGUAGAGGUGCAGGGAGCCUUCGGGUUCUCAACUUAUUUCCAAACUUCGAACCUCCUUGUUAGGCAUUUACCUAACUGGAAAUGCUUAAAUGAAUUAGCGUUACAAGUGGGCUCUGACCGGUAAGCGGUCAUGGCGAAAUGGGAUGAACCAUACGUCUGAAUAAGGUGCCGAAAUGUACUAUCACUGAUACCAUAAAGGGAGUCCAUGUAUUUAGACAGCAGGUCGGUGCCCCUAAAAGCAGGUAUCCGCUAAAGAGUGUGUUAAAACUCACCUGCCGAAUACUAGGGCCCCGAAAAUGAAUGGCGCAUAUAGUACUACCGAUCUCAGACAUCAGUUCUAUUGAACUGAGAGUAGGGGGAUGUGGACAUUUUUGUGAAGGUGCAAUGUGAGUUGGACUGGAAGAAUGUCUAUUACAGAUCCUAAUUGAAGUAGCGAUUAUCCAGGCUUGUAUCCUGGGGGCUGAUGAGGAGUAGGGUUUCUGGACAACUUAAACAGAUCCAGAGUUAGUCGAUCCUAAUCUCAAUAAUGGGAGAAAGGGAGUACAGUUGAUAUUCUGUAACUGACAACAGUUCGCGGCAACGCAUACUAUUUUUCUCCGCCAAAUCUAUACCGUUGGUA
This 1029-nucleotide non-coding RNA is filed under the name Trichomonas vaginalis G3. Its description in RNAcentral is "Eukaryotic large subunit ribosomal RNA". It matches the Rfam family "Eukaryotic large subunit ribosomal RNA", at positions 344 to 1686 of the family's 3401-position model. The record is from Rfam by way of RNAcentral. Lineage: Eukaryota; Parabasalia; Trichomonadida; Trichomonadidae.